This 73-nucleotide transfer RNA is filed under the name Corynebacterium sp. RNAcentral's name for it is "tRNA-Arg". It matches the Rfam family "tRNA". Rfam says of the family: Transfer RNA (tRNA) molecules are approximately 80 nucleotides in length. Their secondary structure includes four short double-helical elements and three loops (D, anti-codon, and T loops). The record is from RNAcentral. Lineage: Bacteria; Bacillati; Actinomycetota; Actinomycetes; Mycobacteriales; Corynebacteriaceae.
GCCUUGGUAGCUCAGUGGAUAGAGCACCGCUCUCCUAAAGCGGGUGUCGCAGGUUCGAUUCCUGCUCAGGGCA